Molecule: non-coding RNA, 70 nt
Organism: Cordylochernes scorpioides
Lineage: Eukaryota; Metazoa; Arthropoda; Arachnida; Pseudoscorpiones; Chernetidae
Source: the annotation of a GenBank genome assembly
UGUCCAGGGAUGGGAAUCGAACCCACAGUGUUCCGCUUACUGAGCAGAUGCCAUGUCCACUAGGCUUUUC